AUGAAGAACGCAGCGAAAUGCGAUAAGUAAUGUGAAUUGCAGAAUUCAGUGAAUCAUCGAAUCUUUGAACGCACAUUGCGCCCGCCAGUAUUCUGGCGGGCAUGCCUGUUCGAGCGUCAUUUCAACCAUCAAGCCCCAGGCUUGUGUUGGGGACCUGCGGCUGCCGCAGGCCCUGAAAACCAGUGGCGGGCUCGCUGUCACACCGGGCGUAGUAGAUUUUAUCUCGCUCAGGGCGUGCUGCGGGUUCCGGCCGUUAAAAAGCCUUUUUUACCCAAGGUUGACCUCGGAUCAGGUAGGAAUACCCGCUGAACUUAAGCAUAUCAAUAAGCGGAGGA
This 335-nucleotide unclassified non-coding RNA is filed under the name soil metagenome. RNAcentral describes it as "partial contains 5.8S ribosomal RNA, internal transcribed spacer 2, and large subunit ribosomal RNA". The stretch from base 1 to 119 matches the Rfam family "5.8S ribosomal RNA", at positions 36 to 154 of the family's 154-position model. The record is from RNAcentral.